RNAcentral lists this ribosomal RNA (480 nucleotides) under uncultured bacterium. RNAcentral's name for it is "partial 16S ribosomal RNA". It matches the Rfam family "Bacterial small subunit ribosomal RNA", at positions 28 to 507 of the family's 1533-position model. The record is from RNAcentral.
GGCGAACGCUGGCGGCGUGCUUAACACAUGCAAGUCGAACGAUGAAGAAAAGAAUCGAAGCUUCGGCAGAAAUUCAUUUCGGAUUAGUUGCGGACGGGUGAGUAACGCGUGAUCAACCUACCUCUUACAAAGGGAUAGCCUCGGGAAACCGGGAUUCAUCCCAUAUAACAUUGCGACGAAGCAUUUCGCUGCACUCAAAGCUACGGCGGGAAGGGGUGGUCGCGCGUCCCCUUGACCGGCUGGUGAGGUAACGGCGCACCAUAGUGACGAUGGGUACACGGGAUGAGAGGGUGAGCCGUCACACCGGCACUGAGACACGGUCCAGACUCCUACGGGAGGCAGCCGUGGGGAAUAUUGCCCAAUGGAGGGAAUGCUGAUGCAGCGCCGCUGGUUGAGUGAUGAAGGAAUUCGUUUCGUACAACUCUGUUCUAUGGCAAGAAAAUGACGGUACCAAAGGAGAAAGCUCCGGCUAACUACGUG